RNAcentral lists this ribosomal RNA (759 nucleotides) under uncultured bacterium. RNAcentral's name for it is "bacterial SSU rRNA". It matches the Rfam family "Bacterial small subunit ribosomal RNA", at positions 28 to 776 of the family's 1533-position model. The record is from RNAcentral.
GAUGAACGCUAGCUACAGGCUUACNACAUGCAAGUCGAGGGGCAUCAGGAAGAAAGCUUGCUUUCUUUGCUAGCGACCGGCGCACGGGUGAGUAACACGUAUCCAACCUGCCCUUUACUCGGGGAUAGCCUUUCGAAAGAAAGAUUAAUNCCCGAUGGCAUAAUGAUUCCGCAUGGUUUCAUUAUUAAAGGAUUCCGGUAAAGGAUGGGGAUGCGUUCCAUUAGGUUGUUGGUGAGGUAACGGCUCACCAAGCCUUCGAUGGAUAGGGGUUCUGAGAGGAAGGUCCCCCACAUUGGAACUGAGACACGGUCCAAACUCCUACGGGAGGCAGCAGUGAGGAAUAUUGGUCAAUGGGCGCUAGCCUGAACCAGCCAAGUAGCGUGAAGGAUGAAGGCUCUAUGGGUCGUAAACUUCUUUUAUAUAAGAAUAAAGUGCAGUAUGUAUACUGUUUUGUAUGUAUUAUAUGAAUAAGGAUCGGCUAACUCCGUGCCAGCAGCCGCGGUAAUACGGAGGAUCCGAGCGUUAUCCGGAUUUAUUGGGUUUAAAGGGAGCGUAGGUGGACUGGUAAGUCAGUUGUGAAAGUUUGCGGCUCAACCGUAAAAUUGCAGUUGAUACUGUCAGUCUUGAGUACAGUAGAGGUGGGCGGAAUUCGUGGUGUAGCGGUGAAAUGCUUAGAUAUCACGAAGAACUCCGGUUGGGAAGGCAGCUCACUGGACUGCAACUGACACUGAUGCUCAAAGGGUGUGGGUAUCAAACAGG